AGAGUUUGAUCAUGGCUCAGAUUGAACGCUGGCGGCAGGCCUAACACAUGCAAGUCGAGCGGUAACAGGAAGUAGCUUGCUACUUCGCUGACGAGCGGCGGACGGGUGAGUAAUGCCUGGGAAUAUGCCUUGAUGUGGGGGAUAACUAUUGGAAACGAUAGCUAAUACCGCAUAAUGCCUACGGGCCAAAGAGGGGGAUCUUCGGACCUCUCGCGUCAAGAUUAGCCCAGGUGGGAUUAGCUAGUUGGUGGGGUAAAGGCUCACCAAGGCGACGAUCCCUAGCUGGUCUGAGAGGAUGAUCAGCCACACUGGAACUGAGACACGGUCCAGACUCCUACGGGAGGCAGCAGUGGGGAAUAUUGCACAAUGGGGGAAACCCUGAUGCAGCCAUGCCGCGUGUAUGAAGAAGGCCUUCGGGUUGUAAAGUACUUUCAUCAGUGAGGAAGGUGGUGAUGCAAAUUCCAUCAUCAUUUGACGCUAGUUGCAGAAUUUUCUCGGUU
RNAcentral lists this ribosomal RNA (500 nucleotides) under Vibrionaceae bacterium enrichment culture clone P_C5. Its description in RNAcentral is "bacterial SSU rRNA". It matches the Rfam family "Bacterial small subunit ribosomal RNA", at positions 8 to 498 of the family's 1533-position model. The record is from RNAcentral. Lineage: Bacteria; Pseudomonadati; Pseudomonadota; Gammaproteobacteria; Vibrionales; Vibrionaceae.